CUCCAGCUACUUCUCUGCUCUCUGCAAGUGCCUUUGCCCACCUCCCUAAACUCUGAGGAGUUCUGAUUGAAUUAGGUUCAGCUGGAUUGAUCUGGUUGUGCCCCAAGGCAAAGGUGAGGCUGGAGUCCAAUGGAGGGACCCAGCUACAGCCCUGUCUCUCCCUGGCUUCCUCCCCGCUGUCCAAGCUGGAUGCUCCGAGCCCAGCGCCCCGCUGCUCACAAGAUAUUGCCUGGAUGAAUGUGGUCAUGUUCCUCAAACUUUCACAAACCUAAGCAGCUCUCUAAGAUGGCACUGCAGUCACACUUUGGACAGUAAAGGAUUGUGGGGGAGAACCAUUGGCUGAGGAAAAUUCUGGAGAGCCCUGGGUCUUCUGAUUCAGGACUGAGAGCUGUGAAGUUCAGUUGUGAGUGGCUAAGGGAUCCCCCAAAGCCAUGAUAGGACCCAUAUUUCCUGCCUUUAGUUCCUGAAAAAAUAUUCACCAAGAAAUCCAUCCUAAUAGUUCCUCCACCCGCCAGUAAGAUAUCUAUUCCUGAAGAGGAGCUGGAAAGAGACUCACACAAAACCCUGAGCCCAGCCCUCUUGUUUCUUUGGUUUCUCCUAGCCUUCCCUGAACUCUGUUAAGAUUUAGUGUUAAGAUAUAUUAACUUAGAAACUAUAGGAGGUCAGUCAGCUGGGAGAGGAGCUGAGACAUUUUGUGGACUGACACCAGCCUCU
Molecule: long non-coding RNA, 714 nt
Filed under: Monodelphis domestica (gray short-tailed opossum)
Lineage: Eukaryota; Metazoa; Chordata; Mammalia; Didelphimorphia; Didelphidae
Description: lncRNA (ENSMODG00000037043.1)
Source: RNAcentral